RNAcentral lists this ribosomal RNA (253 nucleotides) under uncultured bacterium. Its description in RNAcentral is "partial 16S ribosomal RNA". It matches the Rfam family "Bacterial small subunit ribosomal RNA", at positions 524 to 776 of the family's 1533-position model. The record is from RNAcentral.
UACGGAGGGUGCAAGCGUUAUCCGGAUUCACUGGGUUUAAAGGGUGCGUAGGCGGUCGGGUAAGUCUGGUGUGAAAUCCUGGAGCUUAACUUCAGAAAUGCACUGGAUACUGCCCUGCUAGAGGACUGGAGAGGAGAUUGGAAUUCACGGUGUAGCGGUGAAAUGCGCAGAUAUCGGGAAGAACACCCGUGGCGAAGGCGGUUCUCUGGGACGGUACUGACGCUGAGACGCGAAAGCGUGGGGAGCGAACAGG